GGGACCAGCCAGCCCGCUGGUUUGGUAGAGCCAGAACCCUAUGGACCAUAGUGCCACCUGGGAAGCUAGGCUGGAGCACAGGAAGGCAGCAGCUACUGGGUCUAGUGAUGGAGGUUCUUCUAUUUGGAGUUGAAUCCAAUCUGUCUCCUCCAUGGCAAGACUUCAUCAGAGCAGUUUCCAGCCUUCUGUCUCUUGGUUAUCGUGGACUCAGGGCAUUGCCGGGGAGGCCUCAGCACAUUGACCCAGAAGCCUGCUUAUCAGUCCCCAGGAUGCAAGACUCUCAUAAGUUCCUUUGUUGGAAAGAAGUUUGAUGGCAACUGCUUCCCAGCCAGGCUCACAACCUUCAACUUCUCUCUACAAGGGCUCUUGGGAGUCAGCAGUCCCUCCAGACCUGGUCCAAUAACCCCAUUGAAUAAAUGGUCUGCCUGGCUGUGUUUUAAC
This is a long non-coding RNA of Bos taurus (domestic cattle), 441 nucleotides long. Lineage: Eukaryota; Metazoa; Chordata; Mammalia; Artiodactyla; Bovidae. The record is from Ensembl.